RNAcentral lists this ribosomal RNA (535 nucleotides) under uncultured Bacteroidota bacterium. RNAcentral's name for it is "bacterial SSU rRNA". It matches the Rfam family "Bacterial small subunit ribosomal RNA", at positions 53 to 601 of the family's 1533-position model. Lineage: Bacteria; Pseudomonadati; Bacteroidota. The record is from RNAcentral.
ACAUGCAAGUCAAGGGGCCAGCAAUGGCACCGGCGGACGGGUGCGUAACGCGUACACAACGUACCUUUGAGCGGGGGAUAGCAUUGGGAAACUGGUGGUAAACCCCCAUGGUGUUGGUGGAUGGCAUCAUUUACCAACUAAAGGUUACACUCAAAGAUCGGUGUGCGUCCGAUUAGCUAGUUGGCGGGGUAACGGCCCACCAAGGCGACGAUCGGUAGGGGGUGUGAGAGCAUGACCCCCCACAUGGGUACUGAGACACGGACCCAACUCCUACGGGAGGCAGCAGUAAGGAAUAUUGGACAAUGGUCGGAAGACUGAUCCAGCCAUGCCGCGUGAAGGACGAAGGCGCUCAGCGUUGUAAACUUCUUUUGGAUGGGGAUAAUAACCUCGAUUAAUCGGGGCUUGAAGGUACCAUCAGAAUAAGCACCGGCUAACUCCGUGCCAGCAGCCGCGGUAAUACGGAGGGUGCGAGCGUUAUCCGGAAUCACUGGGUUUAAAGGGUGCGUAGGCGGCGAGGUAAGUCAGUUGUGAAAUU